CUCCCUGUAGCUCAGUUGGUAGAGCAUGGUGUUUGCAACGCCAGGGUUGUGGGUUUGAUUCCCACAGGGGGC
RNAcentral lists this transfer RNA (72 nucleotides) under Salmo salar (Atlantic salmon). It matches the Rfam family "tRNA". Rfam says of the family: Transfer RNA (tRNA) molecules are approximately 80 nucleotides in length. Their secondary structure includes four short double-helical elements and three loops (D, anti-codon, and T loops). Lineage: Eukaryota; Metazoa; Chordata; Actinopteri; Salmoniformes; Salmonidae. The record is from Rfam by way of RNAcentral.